GGGUUGUGAGGUUAAGCGACUAAGCGUACACGGUGGAUGCCCUGGCAGUCAGAGGCGAUGAAGGGCGUGCUAAUCUGCGAUAAGCGCCGGUAAGGUGAUAUGAACCGUUAUAACCGGCGAUACCCGAAUGGGGAAACCCAGUGUGAUUCGUCACACUAUCAUUAACUGAAUCCAUAGGUUAAUGAGGCGAACCGGGGGAACUGAAACAUCUAAGUACCCCGAGGAAAAGAAAUCAACCGAGAUUCCCCCAGUAGCGGCGAGCGAACGGGGAGGAGCCCAGAGCCUGAAUCAGCAUGUGUGUUAGUGGAAGCGUCUGGAAAGGCGCGCGAUACAGGGUGACAGCCCCGUACACAAAAGCGCAUGUGCUGUGAGCUCGAUGAGUAGGGCGGGACACGUGGUAUCCUGUCUGAAUAUGGGGGGACCAUCCUCCAAGGCUAAAUACUCCUGACUGACCGAUAGUGAACCAGUACCGUGAGGGAAAGGCGAAAAGAACCCCGGCGAGGGGAGUGAAAAAGAACCUGAAACCGUGUACGUACAAGCAGUGGGAGCCCCACCACCAAAGCAUUUGCUGUACCGCGUUGACGGAGCGAAGCGACGUCAAACCGAUAAAACAGCAGUGUAAAGUGAGCCGCAGGGCGCUUUGCGCGACAGCGCAAAGGCAGGCGGUUUCGCGUAGCGAAAGCGAAUGCUUUGGGGUGGGGUGACUGCGUACCUUUUGUAUAAUGGGUCAGCGACUUAUAUUCUGUAGCAAGGUUAACCGUAUAGGGGAGCCGUAGGGAAACCGAGUCUUAACCGGGCGUUAAGUUGCAGGGUAUAGACCCGAAACCCGGUGAUCUAGCCAUGGGCAGGUUGAAGGUUGGGUAACACUAACUGGAGGACCGAACCGACUAAUGUUGAAAAAUUAGCGGAUGACCUGUGGCUGGGGGUGAAAGGCCAAUCAAACCGGGAGAUAGCUGGUUCUCCCCGAAAGCUAUUUAGGUAGCGCCUCGUGAAUUCAUCUCCGGGGGUAGAGCACUGUUUCGGCUAGGGGGCCAUCCCGGCUUACCAACCCGAUGCAAACUGCGAAUACCGGAGAAUGUUAUCACGGGAGACACACGGCGGGUGCUAACGUCCGUCGUGAAGAGGGAAACAACCCAGACCGCCAGCUAAGGUCCCAAAGUCAUGGUUAAGUGGGAAACGAUGUGGGAAGGCCCAGACAGCCAGGAUGUUGGCUUAGAAGCAGCCAUCAUUUAAAGAAAGCGUAAUAGCUCACUGGUCGAGUCGGCCUGCGCGGAAGAUGUAACGGGGCUAAACCAUGCACCGAAGCUGCGGCAGCGAACGUAUCACCC
RNAcentral lists this ribosomal RNA (1328 nucleotides) under Salmonella enterica subsp. enterica serovar Coeln. RNAcentral's name for it is "partial 23S ribosomal RNA". It matches the Rfam family "Bacterial large subunit ribosomal RNA", at positions 1 to 1222 of the family's 2925-position model. Lineage: Bacteria; Pseudomonadati; Pseudomonadota; Gammaproteobacteria; Enterobacterales; Enterobacteriaceae. The record is from RNAcentral.